Molecule: ribosomal RNA, 1441 nt
Filed under: uncultured organism
Description: 16S ribosomal RNA
Rfam family: Bacterial small subunit ribosomal RNA
Source: RNAcentral
ACACAUGCAAGUCGAGCGGUAGCACAGACCUUUUGCUCUCGGGUGACGAGCGGCGGACGGGUGAGUAAUGUCUGGGAAACUGCCUGAUGGAGGGGGAUAACUACUGGAAACGGUAGCUAAUACCGCAUAACGUCGCAAGACCAAAGUGGGGGACCUUCGGGCCUCAUGCCAUCAGAUGUGCCCAGAUGGGAUUAGCUAGUAGGUGGGGUAACGGCUCACCUAGGCGACGAUCCCUAGCUGGUCUGAGAGGAUGACCAGCCACACUGGAACUGAGACACGGUCCAGACUCCUACGGGAGGCAGCAGUGGGGAAUAUUGCACAAUGGGCGCAAGCCUGAUGCAGCCAUGCCGCGUGUGUGAAGAAGGCCUUCGGGUUGUAAAGCACUUUCAGCGGGGAGGAAGGCGUUAAGGUUAAUAACCUUGGCGAUUGACGUUACCCGCAGAAGAAGCACCGGCUAACUCCGUGCCAGCAGCCGCGGUAAUACGGAGGGUGCAAGCGUUAAUCGGAAUUACUGGGCGUAAAGCGCACGCAGGCGGUCUGUCAAGUCGGAUGUGAAAUCCCCGGGCUCAACCUGGGAACUGCAUUCGAAACUGGCAGGCUAGAGUCUUGUAGAGGGGGGUAGAAUUCCAGGUGUAGCGGUGAAAUGCGUAGAGAUCUGGAGGAAUACCGGUGGCGAAGGCGGCCCCCUGGACAAAGACUGACGCUCAGGUGCGAAAGCGUGGGGAGCAAACAGGAUUAGAUACCCUGGUAGUCCACGCCGUAAACGAUGUCGAUUUGGAGGUUGUGCCCUUGAGGCGUGGCUUCCGGAGCUAACGCGUUAAAUCGACCGCCUGGGGAGUACGGCCGCAAGGUUAAAACUCAAAUGAAUUGACGGGGGCCCGCACAAGCGGUGGAGCAUGUGGUUUAAUUCGAUGCAACGCGAAGAACCUUACCUGGUCUUGACAUCCACAGAACUUUCCAGAGAUGGAUUGGUGCCUUCGGGAACUGUGAGACAGGUGCUGCAUGGCUGUCGUCAGCUCGUGUUGUGAAAUGUUGGGUUAAGUCCCGCAACGAGCGCAACCCUUAUCCUUUGUUGCCAGCGGUUCGGCCGGGAACUCAAAGGAGACUGCCAGUGAUAAACUGGAGGAAGGUGGGGAUGACGUCAAGUCAUCAUGGCCCUUACGACCAGGGCUACACACGUGCUACAAUGGCAUAUACAAAGAGAAGCGACCUCGCGAGAGCAAGCGGACCUCAUAAAGUAUGUCGUAGUCCGGAUUGGAGUCUGCAACUCGACUCCAUGAAGUCGGAAUCGCUAGUAAUCGUAGAUCAGAAUGCUACGGUGAAUACGUUCCCGGGCCUUGUACACACCGCCCGUCACACCAUGGGAGUGGGUUGCAAAAGAAGUAGGUAGCUUAACCUAAGGGAGGGCGCUUACCACUUUGUGAUUCAUGACUGGGGUGAA